GUUAGAGGCAAAAGGGACAGAAGUCUGAGAACUGAAGAGUACGUGAAAGAGAGAAGAGCCAAAGGAGAAGAAGACCUUCGAAGAUUCGACUCUGAGAUUGAAGUAGCGGUUUAAGCGAUCGGUGAGGAUGACUCGUAGAGUUUAUCCGGUUAUGUGGAGUCGUGUCGGUCAUGCUCUGAUCUUGUAACACUGGGGGUCGAUAGUCUUAGAGUUACUUGAUAUACGUUGUUGCCAUUAUUGGCUAUGGAUUAUGUAUUGUUGAUUUGUUUGGAUAGGUUUCUUAACGUUGUUAAAAUGAGUUUCUGCUGUGCUAAACACAUGUUUUGAUAUUUGGUUUAAUUCUAAUAAAGCAUGACAAACGACUUGGAGUUUUAUUUAUUUUAUUAAUUGUAACAUCCUUGUUGUAUGAUUACUCUGAUUAUUUUAUUUUUCGCGGGGGUUUUUAGAAGGGUGUUACAAUAGUGGUAUCAGAGCAGGUCGGUCCGUCCGGCCAAUUGUAGAGUCAGUUGAGUUGCACGACAUUUGAAUACUGUCGGCAUAUUAUCCCUUGGUAUGCGACAUGUGAGUGAAUCACUGUCGGUACUUGGUUGUUUGUUGCGGAAGUUGGUUUGAAACAAGUGGGGGGAAGCUUCGCUUCUCGGUUAUGUUUCAGUUGUAAGACGAGUGAUUCAGUAGGCUGUUGUUGGCAACCGUGCAAGCGUUGUUGGAGUUGUUGUUUCCCGAAUCGAAGGUGACUUGGAAUUAAGACUUGACUGGUAAUUAAGUUGGAGCAUCUUGAAGGAGGAUGAUUAGAUGUAAUUGACGAUUAUUUGUAGGAGAGGAAAUUAGGAAGUUGCAAUGUAUCAACUCUGCUGAUGGACUGGGAAGUUGUCAGUUGAGUAGCCUUGCAUCUCGGAAGAGGUUCAGCUGCAAGUUUGCCAAGAGGAUUGCUGUCGUAAUGUUUCAGAAAUCGCACUUCGGUGAUGGGAUGUGUUGCUCAAGUUAUAAGAAUGUUUGGGAGUGAAGAGAUAUGAUAAGGAGCUGUUUGGAAUGUGAUUGAGUUGAAGAGAAUGAGUUUUGGAGAGAGAUUUUCGUAAGCAAAACGUAGGAAAAUUGCUGAAUAGCUGCAGAACUUCGAAAAUUUAUAACUGGAGUUCUGGACAUCCGAUUUGAGUUCCGUUUGAAGCGUCGGAAAGCUAAAGAGAUGAACUUUGUUAUAAAAAUGGUUGCAGCAGCUGUAACAUAUUUAAUUGUGACAGGAUGAUGUUGGAAAUAGGUGAAGUUGCGGUUACGCGUGCUCUUAGAACUAAACUUGUUUGUUGGUACUGCACGGGAUAUUAGUAUCAGAAUUGAGCGGAUUGAAGGAAUAAUUAAAAGGUUUGUUGAGAAGAAAUUUUAGGAAUUAAUUGUACCAAUGGAGGAGUUUUGGAUAUAUCGUAUAUAGUGUCGCUGCAUGAUGUCGGUGUUGCAUUUUCGGACAACGAUUGGAAAAUUCAUAUCUUGAGAUCCGAGUGUCUGAUUUAAGUGCCGUUUGGGGCAUUGCGAAGCUGAUUUAAUAACCAUGAUAUAUGUUGUUAUUUGAUGUUUAAAACUUGUUUGAAAUGCGUUACAAUGCAUAAUUUGGUGAUGUUUGUGUGUAAUAUUCGCUUGGGGACGAAUUAGUGGAUGGAGAAAAGUGCUUUUGCUGUCAAAACUAUGAAUUUUGCUGUGCAGGUACGUAGGAACCGGUUCCUGUGUGGGAGGAACCGGGUUCUCAUUACAAAAACAGAGGCGUGGGAAUUCUGGGUUACUGGGAACCGGUUCCCAGAUAGAGACAACUCGGUUCCCCAUAGUAAAAAUGAGAGACAAGUUGUGGGAAGCAGCCAGGAACCGGUUCCUGUGUGGGAGGAACCGGGUUCUACUGUGUCUUUUUGGAAAAUUGUUUUUACUUUAAAAACCCAUAACUUUUGAUCCUAUGAGGAGAUAUUCUAAAGUCGGUUAAGGAAGCGCAAAACUUGUUGAAUAAGAAUGCCUACUACCGUGAUUGUUUGAAACAAAAUUGAGUAGAAUAUGUUGUUGAGGAAUAAGUUGAUGAGAUGUUCGGUAAUAAAGAUGAUUUGAGUGCCGAUGGAUUUUAGUGAGGAGUGAAUUAGUAGUAAAGGUGAAAUAAGUUUUAGUACGGUUGAAGUCGUAUUUAUGAUGCCAAAGCAACGACAUGUAUAGAAGAAGAAUUGUAGAGGAUUUCUUACACCUAUUGGUGUGAGGAAGACUUUGUUGAGAUUCCGAGUGGAAUGAUACCUGGACGCAAAAGAUGUCAUGGGAUUUAGAGUGAAACCAGGAGUAUGAAUGUUGUUGCGGUCUUUUGCUAAGAUGAGGAUUUUGAUUUGGAACAGAUAAAUAGUAAGGUACGAGUAUAUUAGUGAUUAUGAAGUUGGAAGUACUUAACAGGUGUGUGAUGCUAAGUGACCAUGAAGCAGAUUAUGUAAAAUGUUUGGAUGUUGGUAUCCCGCUGACAAGAUCCAAUGAGAGGGAAGUGUGCGAGUUGUAAAGACUUAGAGUGAACUAUUGGACUAUGACGAUGUUAAUGAGUUUGAGUGCGAACUCGGAGAAAAGACACUAUUAUGUAGUAACGACGGUUUAUGCUUAAAUGUGAUUGUCGACUAUCUAUUGACAAAUUGAGGACUUGAUCACCCUUAAUAUCUUGUUGAUAGUAGACGGAAUCAUAUAGAUAGGAUGAGCUUGUUUGUUACCUUAAUGGUUUAGGAUAUGAUGGAUACUAAGCCGUGAGAAUAAUCACUCACCAUGUUGUGUGAUUUUAUGAAGAAGUGAAUAUGAAAGAGUGCAAUAUAUUGAAUGAUGAUUUAAGACGGCUAAUCAGAAUCGCGCAGCGAAAGUGUGAUGUGGAGUAGUGUUAUGAGUAUUACUCGUGGGCAGUGAGGAAUUAAUAUGUCAGGAGCCUACAUAGAGGAUGUGUAUUGAUCUAUAUGUUGGAUUUAUAAUCUAGUGGAUGAAACAAUGUCAUUUCGGAGAAUUAGUACUCUUUUGAAUAAUUGCCGAAAUGAUGAGUAUGUUACUGCGGAUGUAGUUAGUUAACGAGUAUGUAUUCAGCGAAGUUAAGGCGAUGAGUGUAUACUAUAUGAUGCUAUAAUAAUUUUGUAAUAUUGUAAAGUGUUAUUGUAGAUUUCCAGAUAUAAUGAGGAAUUAUACUCUAUGAAGGACGAAGUUGAUUUAAUUCUUAGAGAAGAGGGAGACUCAGUUUGAGCUAUUCUGUAAGCAAUGGUAUAUUAAGGAUGAUGAGUGUGAUUAUAAUUACUAGUGUGUACUCAUUCUGAUGGUUAGAAUGUUUAAAUAGAGGAAGUAAAUCAGGACUUUAUUUUUGAGUGCGAGGAAGUGUUGCUAAAUGGUAGAUUAGUACCAUGUAUGAAAAAGAAGGAUUUUGGAACGAAUGAGUAAAGAGAGUCGGAAUUGGGUAAGACUGAGAAAUCUAAUUGGUAAUGACGAUUGUAAUGAUUAAUCAAAAUAGUGCCGCAAAAGCGGAAUAUAACGUGUUGGAUAAUUUCUGGUAUGACUUGAGAGGAGUCAGAUAGUUGAAAUUCAAUGGUAUAGGAAUGUUAUUAUCGAGUUUCUUGAAGGAAGCAGUUGGUGAAGAGUGUAAGUAUUAUUUCAUCGCUCAUAUGGAAAGGUGUGUCUAAGGUUGGUACGUUUGGUAGAUGGAAUGCCUUACUGCAGUGUUAAUCGGGGUGGUCAUACCCUGGUUGUGUAAUUAUAUUAUUCAGUGAUUGAGCGUAUUGUAUGGGUUGUACCUCAAUGUUCUAUCGUUGUUAACCUUUUGGAGAUAUAGCGAGUGGUAUACUUUUGAAUGGUCAAAUGCGACGUAAGAGCUGAGAUGGAAUGCAUGAGGCAUGCUUAUGUUGGUUAUGUCAGAUGAAUUUGGAGGUUCGACUAAGAAAGUGUUAACUGAGAACAGGAGAGUCAGAUGAAGGAUUCCUAUUUGGAACUUUUCACUAGAAGUAUGUUUUCGAGGACGAAAACUCUUUUAGUGGGGGAGAGUUGUAACACCCCAUAUUUUCUAAUUUUAAUUUAAUUGGAAAUUAAAUUAGAAUUAUUUUGGUAUUUGGUUGAAUUAUUGUAGAAUUAUGGAUUAAGGGCCAUUGGGCCGGAUGGUGAGGUUAGUAGUAUGGGGGUGCGAAGUGAGUAAGCCCAUUACUAACUAUUUUAUGUUUUCAUAAAAUAAAGGAAAUUGGGAAAAGAGAAGGUUAGAGGCAAAAGGGACAGAACUCUGAGAACUGAAGAGUACGUGAAAGAGAGAAGAGCCAAAGGAGAAGAAGACCUUCGAAGAUUCGACUCUGAGAUUGAAGUAGCGGUUUAAGCGAUCGGUGAGGAUGACUCGUAGAGUUUAUCCGGUUAUGUGGAGUCGUGUCGGUCAUGCUCUGAUCUUGUAACACUGGGGGUCGAUAGUCUUAGAGUUACUUGAUAUACGUUGUUGCCAUUAUUGGCUAUGGAUUAUGUAUUGUUGAUUUGUUUGGAUAGGUUUCUUAACGUUGUUAAAAUGAGUUUCUGCUGUGCUAAACACAUGUUUUGAUAUUUGGUUUAAUUCUAAUAAAGCAUGACAAACGACUUGGAGUUUUAUUUAUUUUAUUAAUUGUAACAUCCUUGUUGUAUAAUUACUCUGAUUAUUUUAUUUUUCGCGGGGGUUUUUAGAAGGGUGUUACAAUAGUGGUAUCAGAGCAGGUCGGUCCGUCCGGCCAAUUGUAGAGUCAGUUGAGUUGCACGACAUUUGAAUACUGUCGGCAUAUUAUCCCUUGGUAUGCGACAUGUGAGUGAAUCACUGUCGGUACUUGGUUGUUUGUUGCGGAAGUUGGUUUGAAACAAGUGGGGGGAAGCUUCGCUUCUCGGUUAUGUUUCAGUUGUAAGACGAGUGAUUCAGUAGGCUGUUGUUGGCAACCGUGCAAGCGUUGUUGGAGUUGUUGUUUCCCGAAUCGAAGGUGACUUGGAAUUAAGACUUGACUGGUAAUUAAGUUGGAGCAUCUUGAAGGAGGAUGAUUAGAUGUAAUUGACGAUUAUUUGUAGGAGACGAAAUUAGGAAGUUGCAAUGUAUCAACUCUGCUGAUGGACUGCGAAGUUGUCAGUUGAGUAGCCUUGCAUCUCGGAAGAGGUUCAGCUGCAAGUUUGCCAAGAGGAUUGCUGUCGUAAUGUUUCAGAAAUCGCACUUCGGUGAUGGGAUGUGUUGCUCAAGUUAUAAGAAUGUUUGGGAGUGAAGAGAUAUG
Long non-coding RNA from Vicia villosa (hairy vetch), 5225 nucleotides. RefSeq lists it as uncharacterized. The record is from RefSeq and is a predicted model, not a curated record. The transcript is spliced from 3 exons. Lineage: Eukaryota; Viridiplantae; Streptophyta; Magnoliopsida; Fabales; Fabaceae.